UACGGAGGGUGCGAGCGUUAUCCGGAAUUACUGGGCUUAAAGGGUGCGUAGGCGGCCAGGUAAGUCAGGUGUGAAAGUUUGCGGCUCAACCGUAAAAUUGCUUUUGAUACUGCCAGGCUAGAAUUAGGAUGAGGUCAGCGGAAUGUGGCAUGUAGCGGUGAAAUGCAUAGAUAUGCCAUAGAACACCAAUUGCGAAGGCAGCUGGCUAGACCUGGAUUGACGCUGAGGCACGAAAGCGUGGGGAGCGAACAGG
Molecule: ribosomal RNA, 253 nt
Filed under: uncultured bacterium
Lineage: Bacteria
Description: partial 16S ribosomal RNA
Rfam family: Bacterial small subunit ribosomal RNA
Source: RNAcentral